Molecule: transfer RNA, 62 nt
Filed under: Mytilus trossulus (common blue mussel)
Lineage: Eukaryota; Metazoa; Mollusca; Bivalvia; Mytilida; Mytilidae
Description: tRNA-Arg
Source: RNAcentral
UGCUUUUAGCCAUUGGCAGUUUGAUUUCGGCUCAAAAAGAGCGGGUAAAACCGCAAAAGUAU